UUCAUUUUUUUUGUUUCCGAGUGCCAUCUUUCAAAAUCCUUGGAGCACCUGCCACUUCUGAUCUCUUUGAUGUCCCUGAACUCGACUGCAAAUUUCGACAGGUAUUUGAAUAACGAGUUUGAUGUAAGAGCCUUUAACUCGGAUCUCAACACUUGGCACUUCUGAAGCGUAGAAAGGCUUAUACAAGACGUGGGUAUAAUGUGUGUUCGACCGUUCGCGGCUAUCUGAAAGUGGAAGUAAAAUCUACCAGCUAAUUCGAUAAAAUGCGAUAAAAAAGUUGCACUUCGCUGCGGUCAGCAUGCUCUUUAUUAAUCGGGUGAUGGUAAAUAAACGAUGUGCGCUUACUAUCCAGUAUCGAAGCCAUUCUUUUUCAGCGGGUGAAUUGUUUGUCGAUAAACAUAUUGAAUAAUCUAGGGAAUUUACUUCUUCACUUCCUGAAGCGUUGACUGAAGAAUGUAAAGAAAGUUGCCCCAAUGGGCUUUGAUGUGACAACCAAAAAUCGUCGUGCGCUUACGCUCCCCGAGAUUUUCCAAUGAUAGAGUUGAGAACUUAUUGCAGAACAUCAGAGAGUUACCGAUUUCGUCUUGAUGCUGGCUGCAUUCGCCUUCCGAGUAACACAGUCUUCGCAAUGGUAAGUCCAUAGACUUUUAUAAGUCUAUGGGUAAGCCCAAGCCAGUACUUAACCUGUGUGUACUUACCGGCUUGUCGGUGAUGCAAGAAAUUGAUACUGAGAACAAAUUUCGUCCAAUAUUCGUAGCAAAACAGUGAUUUAAUUAAAGCAUAGGUACCCGAGAGAAGAAUGUAUGAAUAGAUCAUAAAUAAUAAUAGAUCAAAUGUAAUAAUGAUGCGGAGACCAAAAAGUAUAUGAUAAAUAAAAGGAAAUAGGUAUGCAUGUGCGGUCCAUGUACGAUAUUGAUAAAUAUGACCCAUUUACGAUUGGCAUGUGAUGCAUACUAUAAAUUUUAUAAUUUUCCAGAAGACAAACUAGAUUGUUUACAAUAAUUGGCUAUGA
This is a long non-coding RNA of Neodiprion fabricii, 1012 nucleotides long. RefSeq lists it as uncharacterized. The record is from RefSeq and is a predicted model, not a curated record. The transcript has 3 exons. NCBI's taxonomy places the organism in Eukaryota, Metazoa, Arthropoda, Insecta, Hymenoptera, Diprionidae.